GAUGAACGCUGGCGGCGUGCCUAAUACAUGCAAGUCGAGCGAACGGACGAGAAGCUUGCUUCUCUGAUGUUAGCGGCGGACGGGUGAGUAACACGUGGAUAACCUACCUAUAAGACUGGGAUAACUUCGGGAAACCGGAGCUAAUACCGGAUAAUAUUUUGAACCGCAUGGUUCAAAAGUGAAAGACGGUCUUGCUGUCACUUAUAGAUGGAUCCGCGCUGCAUUAGCUAGUUGGUAAGGUAACGGCUUACCAAGGCAACGAUGCAUAGCCGACCUGAGAGGGUGAUCGGCCACAAUGGAACUGAGCCACAGUCCAGACUCCUACGGGAGGCAGCAGUAGGGAAUCUUCCGCAAUGGGCGAAAGCCUGACGGAGCAACGCCGCGUGAGUGAUGAAGGUCUUCGGAUCGUAAAACUCUGUUAUUAGGGAAGAACAUAUGUGUAAGUAACUGUGCACAUCUUGACGGUACCUAAUCAGAAAGCCACGGCUAACUACGUG
This 497-nucleotide ribosomal RNA is filed under the name uncultured bacterium. Its description in RNAcentral is "partial 16S ribosomal RNA". It matches the Rfam family "Bacterial small subunit ribosomal RNA", at positions 28 to 507 of the family's 1533-position model. The record is from RNAcentral.